Molecule: long non-coding RNA, 652 nt
Organism: Malaclemys terrapin pileata
Lineage: Eukaryota; Metazoa; Chordata; Testudines; Emydidae
Exons: 3
Source: RefSeq, a predicted model, not a curated record
UCUGUUAGGCACUGAGAAGAGGUUUCUGCUGCUCCGGUUCUGUGGCUGACUGAGGACUGCCGGCCUGCAGCACUGCACGGAGAAGAGAACAGGUUAGAGGAGGCUGCUCCAGACGUCUCUCUAUGCAUAAUCAGAGAUUCACCGCUGCGCCAUUCUCCUCUCCUCCUCCUGCUGCUGCUGCUCCUGUUGGUUCCAGCGUGUAUUAUUUUUAAUACUGAUGCAUAUGUAAAGGCGGGCAAAUUCCUAACACCUUUUCUUAACUGAGGCUAGGAGCACCACUGCAUUUGUGUGCUGGCCAGCAGCCUCACAGAGCCAGAGGACGGGAGUGAAAACGCCAGUGAUCCUGCACAGGGAGAAGAGAUUUCACAGCAACUUAGCAAGCAAACAAGACAAAAGUUAAAGAGUGAUGGCACUAUACCUUGCCCCCGGUCACUCAGACGUGCGCUUCCCAUUUUGUACAUGAUGAAGAGUUUUGGAAACUACGUCGGAGUCCAAUGGAUCGUUUUGUUUGUGGAAUCAAAGCUCACCAAAGAGUGAAACAAGCCACUGGAUAUCCUUGAAUGCAGUAUUUUGUAUCUUGGUCACUGAUUUAGCCCAUAAGCGUGUAAAAAUUCACUGGGGCUAUUGUAUAAAAUCUAUACAGCUGAGCAGA